Molecule: ribosomal RNA, 429 nt
Filed under: Gemmatimonadota bacterium
Lineage: Bacteria; Pseudomonadati; Gemmatimonadota
Description: Gemmatimonadetes bacterium partial 16S ribosomal RNA
Rfam family: Bacterial small subunit ribosomal RNA
Source: RNAcentral
UAGGGAAUCUUCGGCAAUGGACGAAAGUCUGACCGAGCAACGCCGCGUGAGUGAAGAAGGUUUUCGGAUCGUAAAACUCUGUUGUUAGAGAAGAACAAGGACGUUAGUAACUGAACGUCCCCUGACGGUAUCUAACCAGAAAGCCACGGCUAACUACGUGCCAGCAGCCGCGGUAAUACGUAGGUGGCAAGCGUUGUCCGGAUUUAUUGGGCGUAAAGCGAGCGCAGGCGGUUUCUUAAGUCUGAUGUGAAAGCCCCCGGCUCAACCGGGGAGGGUCAUUGGAAACUGGGAGACUUGAGUGCAGAAGAGGAGAGUGGAAUUCCAGGUGUAGCGGUGAAAUGCGUAUAUAUAUGGAGGAACACCAGUGGCGAAGGCCGCUCUCUGGUCUGUAACUGACGCUGAGGCUCGAAAGCGUAGGGAGCAAACAGG